RNAcentral lists this ribosomal RNA (253 nucleotides) under uncultured bacterium. Its description in RNAcentral is "partial 16S ribosomal RNA". It matches the Rfam family "Bacterial small subunit ribosomal RNA", at positions 524 to 776 of the family's 1533-position model. The record is from RNAcentral.
UACGUAGGGGGCAAGCGUUGUCCGGAUUUAUUGGGCGUAAAGAGCGUGUAGGCGGCCGUGUAGGUCCGUUGUGAAAACUCGAGGCUCAACCUCGAGACGUCGAUGGAAACCACACGGCUAGAGUCCGGAAGAGGAGAGUGGAAUUCCUGGUGUAGCGGUGAAAUGCGCAGAUAUCAGGAAGUACACCUAUGGCGAAGGCAGCUCUCUGGGACGGUACUGACGCUGAGACGCGAAAGCGUGGGGAGCGAACAGG